Molecule: ribosomal RNA, 404 nt
Filed under: uncultured bacterium
Lineage: Bacteria
Description: bacterial SSU rRNA
Rfam family: Bacterial small subunit ribosomal RNA
Source: RNAcentral
GCACUUUAAGCAGUGAAGAAGACUCUUCGGUUAAUACCCGGAGACGAUGACAUUAGCUGCAGAAUAAGCACCGGCUAACUCUGUGCCAGCAGCCGCGGUAAUACAGAGGGUGCAAGCGUUAAUCGGAAUUACUGGGCGUAAAGGGAGCGUAGGUGGCUCGAUAAGUCAGAUGUGAAAUCCCCGGGCUCAACCUGGGAACUGCAUCUGAUACUGUUGAGCUAGAGUAUGUGAGAGGAAGGUAGAAUUCCAGGUGUAGCGGUGAAAUGCGUAGAGAUCUGGAGGAAUACCGAUGGCGAAGGCAGCCUUCUGGCAUAAUACUGACACUGAGGCUCGAAAGCGUGGGUAGCAAACAGGAUUAGAUACCCUGGUAGUCCACGCCGUAAACGAUGUCUACUAGUCGUUGG